RNAcentral lists this transfer RNA (86 nucleotides) under Caballeronia humi. RNAcentral's name for it is "tRNA-Glu". The record is from RNAcentral. Lineage: Bacteria; Pseudomonadati; Pseudomonadota; Betaproteobacteria; Burkholderiales; Burkholderiaceae. RNAcentral also lists the same sequence under 1 other name.
GCCGACGCUCGCGCGCGGCGUGCUGCGCUUUCUCGCGGCGCAUCAGGCGCGCGAGGAUUCGGCGUUCCGCGACGCCGAGGUCGGCA